AUACGCUGGUUUCUCUUCAGAUCGCAUAAAUUUUUCGCUGUUUACUAAUGAUUUCCGUGGAGAGGAACAAUUCUGAGAAAGAAAAAAA
Molecule: small nuclear RNA, 88 nt
Filed under: Myotis lucifugus (little brown bat)
Lineage: Eukaryota; Metazoa; Chordata; Mammalia; Chiroptera; Vespertilionidae
Description: U5 spliceosomal RNA (ENSMLUG00000020850.2)
Rfam family: U5 spliceosomal RNA
About the family: U5 RNA is a component of both types of known spliceosome. The precise function of this molecule is unknown, though it is known that the 5' loop is required for splice site selection and p220 binding, and that both the 3' stem-loop and the Sm site are important for Sm protein binding and cap methylation.
Source: RNAcentral